AGAAUCUUUCGCAAUGCCCGAAAGGGUGACGAAGCGACGCCGCGUGCGGGAAGAAGGCCUUCGGGUUGUAAACCACUGUCGGGAGUUAAGAAGUGUAAGGGUGUUAAGAGCAUCCUUACUUGACGUUAGCUCCGGAGGAAGCCACGGCUAACUCUGUGCCAGCAGCCGCGGUAAUACAGAGGUGGCAAGCGUUGUUCGGAAUUAUUGGGCGUAAAGAGCACGUAGGCGGCCCUGCAAGUCAGCUGUGAAAUCCUUCUGCUCAACGGAAGAACGGCAGUUGAUACUACAGGGCUAGAGUGCGGGAGGGGAGAGUGGAACUUCUGGUGGAGCGGUGAAAUGCGUAGAUAUCAGAAGGAACAUCGGCGGCGAAAGCGACUCUCUGGUCCGUAACUGACGCUGAGGUGCGAAAGCUAGGGGAGCAAACGGGAUUAGAUACCCCGGUAGUCCUAGCCGUAAACGAUGGGCACUCGGUAGAGGGGUUUUGAUUAUCUCUCUGCCUGAGCUAACGCGUUAAGUGCCCCGCCUGGGGAGUACGGCCGCAAGGCUAAAACUCAAAAGAAUUGACGGGGGCUCGCACAAGCGGUGGAGCAUGUGGCUUAAUUCGAUGCAACACGAAGAACCUUACCGGGGCUUGACAUGGUAGAAGUAGGAGCCCGAAAGGGUAACGAACGGUAUCCAGUCCGUCACUAUCACAGGUGUUGCAUGGCUG
RNAcentral lists this ribosomal RNA (709 nucleotides) under uncultured anaerobic ammonium-oxidizing bacterium. RNAcentral describes it as "bacterial SSU rRNA". It matches the Rfam family "Bacterial small subunit ribosomal RNA", at positions 358 to 1051 of the family's 1533-position model. The record is from RNAcentral.